CUUUCUUUCAUAUACAGGAACACCCCUUCCUCUUUCUUGCCUUCUCUGUCUUUUCUAUAUAAAGAGUACCCUGGUAUUGCUAUAUCCCAGUAAUUUUUCUCAUUAUACCAUGUCUCAGUAACAGCCACUAAAUCUACAUUCUCAGUUGCCAUUAUUGUCACAAGUUCAUGGAUCUUAUUCCCUAAACUGUGAGCAUUUGUAGACAUGACACUAAGCUUAUCAUUUUUUUAAUACACUCGUUACAGUUACUUUCUGUUUUUGUUUU
Non-coding RNA from Pelobates cultripes (western spadefoot toad), 265 nucleotides. NCBI's taxonomy places the organism in Eukaryota, Metazoa, Chordata, Amphibia, Anura, Pelobatidae. The record is from the annotation of a GenBank genome assembly.